CUUUCAUCAAAAAAAAAGAGUAAAUAGGCUGUAAUAUAUUAUCAAAAUGGAUGAAAUUUCAUAAAAGACAUAUGAAAGGCAAAUAAGUGAGUGUUGAUAUAAUGUCAAGGAUGUCAAAUGAACAAUCCUGAUAUAUUUAUAUUUGUAUCCAUAAAAUAUUAAAAGCAUAACCCUUGGGUGAAUCCUUUAGAAGAAUUAUAGAAGAUCAGGCAUAGAACUGAAAAGCAUGGAUGAGCUGGUACCUGAGUCUAGUGAUUACUGACAUAAAUGAAACCUUAUCUCCAACAAUGUAUUUAAAUAUGACAUCACAAAGAUAUCAUCUGAAGUCCAGUUACUAAGAGUAUGAGAUAUAGAGCUCAGAACUGGGUUGGGGGGAAAUUUGGGGACUAGAGUGGGGAAUAGAUGAAAAAUUCCUCUAAAAGAAAAUUAUUCUGAGUAGGGACCAAAAUCUCCACUGGAAUAAAGCCAUGAUGACCUUGGAAGGAGGAUUAUAGGCCAGGAAGGAAGCCUUGAGAAGCCAGGAUGAUUAGGAUGAGAGCCCAGAUGGGGCUGUCGAAUGAGAACUUUUGGGGAUUCUGCUAAGCUGUGAACCUAAUUACUUUCUACUCUUCAGAGAUUGAAGUGGUAUGGGGGAAAUUAUGUUCCCCAGAUGUUGAGAAAAGAAUGUUUAUAUAUUUGUACUUUCUAAACCUUUGAAUUAAA
This is a long non-coding RNA of Sarcophilus harrisii (Tasmanian devil), 702 nucleotides long. RefSeq lists it as uncharacterized. The record is from RefSeq and is a predicted model, not a curated record. NCBI's taxonomy places the organism in Eukaryota, Metazoa, Chordata, Mammalia, Dasyuromorphia, Dasyuridae. The transcript has 2 exons.